Molecule: ribosomal RNA, 670 nt
Filed under: fungal sp. ARIZ B357
Lineage: Eukaryota; Fungi
Description: eukaryotic LSU rRNA
Rfam family: 5.8S ribosomal RNA (bases 195-348)
Source: RNAcentral
UUGGAAGUAAAAAGUNGUAACAAGGUUUCCGUAGGUGAACCUGCGGAAGGAUCAUUACCGAGUUUUCGAGCUCCGGCUCGACUCUCCCACCCUUUGUGAACGUACCUCUGUUGCUUUGGCGGCUCCGGCCGCCAAAGGACCUUCAAACUCCAGUCAGUAAACGCAGACGUCUGAUAAACAAGUUAAUAAACUAAAACUUUCAACAACGGAUCUCUUGGUUCUGGCAUCGAUGAAGAACGCAGCGAAAUGCGAUAAGUAAUGUGAAUUGCAGAAUUCAGUGAAUCAUCGAAUCUUUGAACGCACAUUGCGCCCCUUGGUAUUCCGGGGGGCAUGCCUGUUCGAGCGUCAUUACAACCCUCAAGCUCUGCUUGGAAUUGGGCACCGUCCUCACUGCGGACGCGCCUCAAAGACCUCGGCGGUGGCUGUUCAGCCCUCAAGCGUAGUAGAAUACACCUCGCUUUGGAGCGGUUGGCGUCGCCCGCCGGACGAACCUUCUGAACUUUUCUCAAGGUUGACCUCGGAUCAGGUAGGGAUACCCGCUGAACUUAAGCAUAUCAAUAAGCGGAGGAAGCUUCUAACGGUCUAUUAAGUUAGACAAUUUACCCCAAGGUUUGACCUCAAAUCAGGUAGGACUACCCGCUGAACUUAAGCAUAUCAAUAAGCGGAGGAA